This 254-nucleotide ribosomal RNA is filed under the name uncultured bacterium. RNAcentral describes it as "partial 16S ribosomal RNA". It matches the Rfam family "Bacterial small subunit ribosomal RNA", at positions 524 to 776 of the family's 1533-position model. The record is from RNAcentral.
UACGGGGGGUGCAAGCGUUGUUCGGAUUUACUGGGCGUAAAGGGCGCGUAGGCGGCCACCGCAAGUCGGUUUUGAAACCUCUGGGCUUAACCCAGAAAGGUCAACCGAUACUGCGGGGCUAGAGUGCAGAAGGGGCAACUGGAAUUCUCGGUGUAGCGGUGAAAUGCGUAGAUAUCGAGAGGAACACCUGCGGCGAAGGCGGGUUGCUGGGCUGACACUGACGCUGAAGCGCGAAAGCUAGGGGAGCGAACGGG